This 250-nucleotide ribosomal RNA is filed under the name uncultured bacterium. RNAcentral describes it as "partial 16S ribosomal RNA". It matches the Rfam family "Bacterial small subunit ribosomal RNA", at positions 334 to 601 of the family's 1533-position model. The record is from RNAcentral.
UACUCCUACGGGAGGCAGCAGUGGGGAAUAUUGCACAAUGGGGGAAACCCUGAUGCAGCGAUGCCGCGUGGAGGAAGAAGGUUUUCGGAUUGUAAACUCCUUUUAUCAGGGACGAUAAUGACGGUACCUGAAGAAAAAGCUCCGGCUAACUACGUGCCAGCAGCCGCGGUAAUACGUAGGGAGCGAGCGUUGUCCGGAAUUACUGGGCGUAAAGCGCUCGUAGGCGGUAUGUCAAGUCAGGGGUGAAAUC